RNAcentral lists this ribosomal RNA (628 nucleotides) under Agabus undulatus. Its description in RNAcentral is "partial 16S ribosomal RNA". It matches the Rfam family "Bacterial large subunit ribosomal RNA", at positions 1829 to 2756 of the family's 2925-position model. The record is from RNAcentral. Lineage: Eukaryota; Metazoa; Arthropoda; Insecta; Coleoptera; Dytiscidae.
GUCCUUUAGAAUUUAAUUUAAGGUUUAACCUGCCCACUGAGAUUAUUUGAAGGGCCGCAGUAAUUUGACUGUGCAAAGGUAGCAUAAUCAUUAGUUUUUUAAUUAAAAGCUUGUAUGAAGGGUUGGACGAGGUAAAUUCUGUCUCUAUUUAAAUUAAUAUAGAAUUUAAUUUUUAAGUUAAAAAGCUUAAAUUUUUUUAAAAGACGAGAAGACCCUAUAGAUCUUUAUAUUAAAUAUAUUAAUUUUAAUUAGGAAUAUUUUAUUUUUUAAUAUAUAUAAUAUUUUAUUGGGGUAAUAUAAAGAUUAAAUUAAUUCUUUUUUUUAUUUUUACAUUAAUUAAUGAUUAUUUGAUCCAAUUUUAUUGAUUAAAAGAUUAAGUUACCUUAGGGAUAACAGCGUAAUUUUUUUAGAGAGUUCAUAUCGAUAAAAAAGUUUGCGACCUCGAUGUUGGAUUAAAAAUUAUCUUAGGUGUAGUAGUUUAAGAUUUUGGUCUGUUCGACCAUUAAAUUUUUACAUGAUCUGAGUUCAGACCGGUGUAAGCCAGGUCGGUUUCUAUCUUUAAUAAAAUAUAAUAUUUUAGUACGAAAGGACCAAAUAUUUAAUAUAUUUAUAUUUAAAUUUUGAAUAU